Molecule: ribosomal RNA, 765 nt
Filed under: uncultured organism
Description: bacterial SSU rRNA
Rfam family: Bacterial small subunit ribosomal RNA
Source: RNAcentral
AAAACUUUUCGCUAAUAGAAGAGCCUAUGUAGGAUUAGGUAGUUGGUAUUUUGGGUAAAAGCCUACCAAGCCUAAGAUCCUUAGCUGUUCUGAGAGGUUGAACAGNCACACUGGGACUGAGACAAGGGCCAGGCUCCAUUUGGAGCCAGCAGUGAGGAAUUUUGGACAAUGAGCGAAAGCUUGAUCCAGCAAUACUACAUGAGUGAAGAAGGCUUUCAAGUUGUAACACUCUUUGGUUGAGGAGGAUAAUGACAGUACUCAACAAAAUAGUCCCGGCUAACUUCGUGCCAGCAGCCGCGGUAAGACGAAGGGGGCGAGCGUUAUCCGGAAUGACUGGGCGUAAAGGGUCCGUAGGCAGCAUUUUUUGUUGGAAGUUAAAUAAAAAAGCUUAACUUUUUUCCGCUUCUAAAACGUAAAUGCUUUGAGUUUGAUAGAAGAUAGCAGAAUUUCACAAGGAGGGGUGAUAUCCAGAGAUCUGUGAAGGAAUAUCAGAUGCGAAGGCGGCUAUCUAGAUCAACACUGACGUUGAGGGACGAAAGCAUGGGGAGCAAACAGGAUUAGAUACCCUGGUAGUCCAUGCCCUAAAAGAUGAGUGUUCGUGCUUAGAGAACUUUAGGCACUUAGUUAACACGUUAAACACUCCGCCUGGGGAGUACGAUCGCAAGGUUGGAACUCAAAGGAAUUGACGGGGGCCUAUACAAGUGGUGGAGCAUGUGGUUUAAUGCGAUAAUACGCGCGAAACCUUACCAGUUCUUGACAUAAAAA